RNAcentral lists this ribosomal RNA (253 nucleotides) under uncultured bacterium. RNAcentral's name for it is "partial 16S ribosomal RNA". It matches the Rfam family "Bacterial small subunit ribosomal RNA", at positions 524 to 776 of the family's 1533-position model. The record is from RNAcentral.
GACAGAGGGUGCAAACGUUGCUCGGAAUCACUGGGCGUAAAGGGCGUGUAGGCGGGAAGGAAAGUCAGAUGUGAAAUCCCUGGGCUCAACCCAGGAACUGCAUUUGAAACUCCCUUUCUUGAGUGUCGGAGAGGAAAGUGGAAUUCCUGGUGUAGAAGUGAAAUUCGUAGAUAUCAGGAGGAACACCGGUGGCGAAGGCGACUUUCUGGACGACAACUGACGCUGAGACGCGAAAGCGUGGGGAGCAAACAGG